GAUGAACGCUGGCGGCGUGCCUAAUACAUGCAAGUCGAGCGAACAGACGAGGAGCUUGCUCCUCUGACGUUAGCGGCGGACGGGUGAGUAACACGUGGAUAACCUACCUAUAAGACUGGGAUAACUUCGGGAAACCGGAGCUAAUACCGGAUAAUAUAUUGAACCGCAUGGUUCAAUAGUGAAAGACGGUUUUGCUGUCACUUAUAGAUGGAUCCGCGCCGCAUUAGCUAGUUGGUAAGGUAACGGCUUACCAAGGCAACGAUGCGUAGCCGCCCUGAAAGGGUGAUCCGCCACCCGGGAACUGAGACACGGUCCAGACUCCUACGGGAGGCAGCAGUAGGGAAUCUUCCGCAAUGGGCGAAAGCCUGACCGAGCAACGCCGCGUGAGUGAUGAAGGCCUUCGGAUCGUAAAACUCUGUUAUUAGGGAAGAACAAAUUUGUAAGUAACUAUGCACGUCUUGACGGUACCUAAUCAGAAAGCCAGGGCUAACUACGUA
Molecule: ribosomal RNA, 497 nt
Filed under: uncultured bacterium
Lineage: Bacteria
Description: partial 16S ribosomal RNA
Rfam family: Bacterial small subunit ribosomal RNA
Source: RNAcentral